CUGGUCUUAAGUCUCAGACGUCGCCUGUUUAUCAAAAACAUCGCCUCUUGCUAAACCGAAAGUAUAAGAGGUCCCGCCUGCCCUGUGACUAUAUGUUUAACGGCCGCGGUAUUUUGACCGUGCGAAGGUAGCGCAAUCACUUGUCUUUUAAAUAGGGACCUGUAUGAAUGGCAUAACGAGGGCUUGACUGUCUCCUCUUUCAAGUCAAUGAAAUUGAUCUCCCCGUGCAGAAGCGGGGAUAAGCACAUAAGACGAGAAGACCCUAUGGAGCUUUAGACACUAAAGCAGACCAGUAUUAAUACCCUGAACAUAGGGCACGAAUAAACUGAUCCCUGCCCUAAUGUCUUUGGUUGGGGCGACCGCGGAGAAAUACAAAACCCCCGCAAGGACUAAAUGUACUACAUUCACAACCAAGAGCGACAGCUCUAACUAACAGAACUUCUGACCAAUAAGAUCCGGCAAUGCCGAUCAAUGAACCGAGUUACCCUAGGGAUAACAGCGCAAUCUCCUCUUAGAGCCCAUAUCGACGAGGAGGUUUACGACCUCGAUGUUGGAUCAGGACAUCCUAAUGGUGCAGCCGCUAUUAAGGGUUCGUUUGUUCAACGAUUAAAGUCCUACGUGAUCUGAGUUCAGACCGG
This 638-nucleotide ribosomal RNA is filed under the name Epinephelus latifasciatus (striped grouper). Its description in RNAcentral is "partial 16S ribosomal RNA". It matches the Rfam family "Bacterial large subunit ribosomal RNA", at positions 1776 to 2619 of the family's 2925-position model. Lineage: Eukaryota; Metazoa; Chordata; Actinopteri; Perciformes; Serranidae. The record is from RNAcentral.